This is a long non-coding RNA of Cryptomeria japonica (Japanese cedar), 690 nucleotides long. RefSeq lists it as uncharacterized. The record is from RefSeq and is a predicted model, not a curated record. Lineage: Eukaryota; Viridiplantae; Streptophyta; Pinopsida; Cupressales; Cupressaceae. The transcript is spliced from 2 exons.
AUUCAAUGUGUAUAUCCGUUUACAGUUUGUUACGUGUUCUCCACACAAUUGCUUUUGAUCUCUUCAACUUUGGCGAAUGGGCAGAUUCUCUUUUCUACACGCUUUUGGCUUCUUUAUUAAGAAGCAAAUUUGUGUGUGUGCUGUGUGUAGACAGGAGGAAAUUAGAUUCAGUGCUUCUGCUCUUCUAAUUGUCUAGAAAGGCACGUUGUAAGGCUGCAUUAAAGUGCUCGAGUUUGAGAAAUGGCUACGAAACCAGAUAAUGGAGGAGAGAAGAAGGUUUUUUACGACCCAGUUUAUAGUCCAAGGCGUUCACAGAAUAAUAACAACAAUAAUAGACAGUUGUUUGAUGAUUUCAGUGUUGCAAAUCAUGUGCACUUUUUGAGGCCACCGUUGGCCUCAGCGGAUACCAGCAGUCUGCUGCAGAAGCAGAACAAGGAGAGAAAGGCCAAGGAAGAUAAACCUUGAAAAAUCAGUUUGGUCUUCUUCUGAUGAUGAUGAUGAUGAUCAUGUUUGUAAUGAUGAUAUUAGGUCAGAUCAUCUGCUUACAUUGUGUAUAUAUUGUCCAUAUUAGCAGGGACCAGGAGCCUUUCUAUGCUUAACUCAGAUAUGGUUGGAAACUCAAUAUUAAAUUUUGAGCAGCAAUCUUUAAUGUGACUUCAGUUUCUUAAUCCAGUAAUGUUUUUGGAGUAA